Molecule: ribosomal RNA, 1382 nt
Filed under: uncultured bacterium
Lineage: Bacteria
Description: 16S ribosomal RNA
Rfam family: Bacterial small subunit ribosomal RNA
Source: RNAcentral
GAUGAACGCUGGCGGCGUGGAUAAGGCAUGCAAGUCGAACGAUCCGUCUUCGGACGGAGAGUGGCAAACGGGGUAGUAACACGUGGGUAUGCACCGUGCACACUGGAAUAACUCGGGGAAACUCGGGCUAAUACCAGAUGGUUCCCGCAAGGGUAAAGGUUUUCGCUUCUGCGGAUUCCGGUGCAUGAGCGGCCUGCGGGCUAUCAGCUUGUUGGUAGGGUAAAAGCCUACCAAGGCUAUGACGGCUAGGGGAGGUGAGAGCCUGACCCCCACCACUGGGACUGAGACACGGCCCAGACACCUACGGGUGGCUGCAGUCGAGAAUCUUCCACAAUGGGCGAAAGCCUGAUGGAGCGACGCCGCGUGAUCGAAGAAGUCCUUCGGGAUGUAAAGAUCUUUUAUAGGGGAAGAAGGUUGUCUUUUGGCAAUUUGACAUCACCCUAGGAAUAAGGGGUUGCUAAACUCGUGCCAGCAGCAGCGGUAAUACGAGUGCCCCAAGCGUUAUCCGGAUUUACUGGGCGUAAAGGGUCCGUAGGGGGUUUUGUUAGCCUCGCUUUAAAGCUCUGUGCUCAACACAGAAAAUGGGCGAGGAACGGCAAAACUAGAGGAUGCGAGAGGUCGACGGAACUCUGGGUGUAGGGGUGAAAUCCGUUGAUAUCCAGAGGAACACCAAAGGCGAAGGCAGUCGGCUGGCGCAUUCCUGACCCUGAGGGACGAAAGCGUGGGUAGCGAAAAGGAUUAGAUACCCUUGUAGUCCACGCCCUAAACGAUGUUCUCCAGUCUUUCGAAGUAUCGACCCUUUGAGAGGCGAAGCUAACGCGUUAAGAGAACCGCCUGGGAAGUACGGCCGCAAGGCUAAAACUCAAAGGAAUAGACGGGGACUUGCACAAGCGGUGGAGCGUGUGGUUUAAUUCGACGAUAAGCGAAGAACCUCACCAGGGCUUGAAAUUCCAGUGGAAAGUCCGAUGAAAGUUGGACCUUCUCACAAGGACCGCUGGGACAGGUGCUGCAUGGCUGUCGUCAGUUCGUGGCGUGAGCUGUUCCCUUAAGUGGGGUAACGAACGCAACCCUCAUUGUCUGUUAGAUAUGUCAGACGAGACUGCCCUGCUACAGCGGGGAGGAAGGUGAGGAUGACGCCAAGUCAGCAUGGCCCUUUGAUGCCCUGGGCAACACACGCGCUACAAUGGUCAGUACAAUGGGUUGCCAAGCCGCGAGGCGGAGCUAAUCCCAUCAAAGCUGGCCUCAGUUCGGAUUGGAGUCUGCAAUUCGACUCCAUGAAGUCGGAAUCGCUAGUAAUCGCGGAUCAGAACGCCGCGGUGAAUACGUUCUCAAGUCUUGUACUCACCGCCCGUCAACUCAAGGGAGCUGGGAGUAGCCGAAGU